This 209-nucleotide ribosomal RNA is filed under the name uncultured bacterium. RNAcentral's name for it is "partial 16S ribosomal RNA". It matches the Rfam family "Bacterial small subunit ribosomal RNA", at positions 121 to 334 of the family's 1533-position model. The record is from RNAcentral.
GGAACUGCCUGAUGGAGGGGGAUAACUACUGGAAACGGUAGCUAAUACCGCAUAACGUCGCAAGACCAAAGAGGGGGACCUUGGGCCUCUUGCCAUCGGAUGUGCCCAGAUGGGAUUAGCUAGUAGGUGGGGUAAUGGCUCACCUAGGCGACGAUCCCUAGCUGGUCUGAGAGGAUGACCAGCCACACUGGAACUGAGACACGGUCCAG